CCCUUAGAUGUUCUGGGCUGCACGCGUGCUACAAUGGCGCUUGCAACAAGAUUGCCAACCCGAAAGGGCGAGCGGAUCUUUGAAGUGGCGUCGUGAUCGGGACAGUUGAUUGCAAUUAUUCGACUCGAACGAGGAAUUCCUUGUAAUCGCGAUUCAUCAUAUCGCGCUGAAUACGUCCCUGCCCUUUGUACACACCGCCCGUCGCUCCUACCGAUUGAGCGAUCCGGUGAAUGUUUUGGACUGGUGUCCGCAAGCGUUUCGCUUCGGACGCUACGAAAUUUUGUAAACCUUAUCGCUUAGAGGAAGGAAAAGUCGUAACA
This 320-nucleotide ribosomal RNA is filed under the name uncultured eukaryote. RNAcentral describes it as "partial 18S ribosomal RNA". It matches the Rfam family "Eukaryotic small subunit ribosomal RNA", at positions 1470 to 1796 of the family's 1831-position model. The record is from RNAcentral.